Molecule: long non-coding RNA, 486 nt
Organism: Oncorhynchus tshawytscha (Chinook salmon)
Lineage: Eukaryota; Metazoa; Chordata; Actinopteri; Salmoniformes; Salmonidae
Source: Ensembl
GGGCCCUAUUCCCUAUAUAGUACACUACUGUUGACCAGGGCCCUAUUCCCUAUAUAGUACACUAAUUUUGAUCAGAGGCCUAUUCCCUAUAUAGUGCACUAAUUUUGAUCAGAGGCCUGUGAGGAAUAGGGGGCCAAUUGGGACGCAGACUGUAUGUGAAACUGAUCAGUUUUUAAAUGUUUCUGCGGUUCUUAUUGGUUGUCUGAUUCUCUGACCAUGUCUGUGGUUGUUAUGGUUACCGUCUGAUCCAGUUCAUACAGACUGUUUUGGUUGUUGUUUCUUUGUUCUGUUUAUCUCUCUCUCUUUUUGUGGUUUAACUGUCUGUGGUCAGGUUCUGGCCAAUCAGAUGGGUCCGUGGUCAGGUUCUGGCCAAUCAGAUGGGUCAGGUUCUGGCCAAUCAGAUGGGUCAGGUUCUGGCCAAUCAGAUGGGUCAGGUUCUGGCCAAUCAGAUGGGUCAGGUUCUGGCCAAUCAGAUGGGUCCGGGUC